CCUACGGGUGGCAGCAGUGGGGAAUCUUGCACAAUGGGCGAAAGCCUGAUGCAGCGACGCCGCGUGGGGGAUGAAGCAUUUCGGUGUGUAAACCCCUUUCGAUCCGGACGAAUGCCCGCAAGGGAUUGACGGUACGGAUAUAAGAAGCCCCGGCUAACUACGUGCCAGCAGCCGCGGUAAGACGUAGGGGGCCAGCGUUGUUCGGAAUUACUGGGUGUAAAGGGUUCGUAGGCGGUGCGGCAAGUUGGGAGUGAAAUCUCUGGGCUUAACCCAGAGGCUGCUUCCAAAACUGCUGUGCUUGAGUGUGGGAGAGGCGCGUGGAAUUGCAGGUGUAGCGGUGAAAUGCGUAGAUAUCUGCAGGAACACCCGUGGCGAAAGCGGCGCGCUGGACCACUACUGACGCUGAGGAACGAAAGCUAGGGGAGCAAACAGGAUUAGAU
RNAcentral lists this ribosomal RNA (440 nucleotides) under uncultured bacterium. RNAcentral describes it as "bacterial SSU rRNA". It matches the Rfam family "Bacterial small subunit ribosomal RNA", at positions 338 to 783 of the family's 1533-position model. The record is from RNAcentral.